AUUUUCAAGACCACACCAAAGUAGUAAGGAGACCAAAAGACCUCCAAAAGUAUAGUUACCAAAGAGGAGAAAGACCACUUUUCAAAAAUACCCCAAAGAGGACAAGACUACCAAAAGGGUUGUCUUACCAAUUUGGUGCAAGUAGGUGAAGGACUUUAUGAAUCUUGAAAGUGGAGUCUAAGACCUUGUUUGUCUCUACUUUGGCCGAAAUUCUUGUCUUCCAAAUACAAAAUUGAACAACUAAUUUCUUGAAACAAAAAAUUUUCAACUUCAACAACAUUUCAACAACCAAUAGUAAUGUGCCACGUCAUCAAGAGCUCAAGAACGUUGGAAUUCCUAGUUUCACUUUUUUGAUUCUAUUGGUUUCCAUUUUGUUGGUUCUCAUACUAAUUAGCGAACUAUUAAAUACCUACUAGAUUGUAGAUUAGUUUUUUAGUACGUUUUUCUUUCGUGUUAAGCAUUGUAUUGUGUUCUUUUCUCGUUUUUAAGUCGUAGAUUUUCUCUGGUACAAGUUCAAACAUCAUUUCUUGAGUUGUUUCAAACAAGAAUCUACUCCAUCUUCGAGCCACAAUUGGGACCAAGUAACCUCAAUGGAGUAUAAGCGAGUUAUCAACACUUGUGAGGCCAAUAGAGUGAAAACUUCAAAGUGUGAGUGUGAGGGAGUUUGUGGACUAUUUUGAGACGUCUUGUGGACUGAUUUUUGCUAACCUUUAAUGUCUUUGCUGUUUUUAUGUCGUUUGUUUAGUAGUUUUUGAUAGGUACAAAGGCGGAUGAAAGUGAGAUGCCUAGUUGGGCUAGUUCUUUCAUUGAAAGGUUUACCAAUGCUAUCGAUAGACGAUUGGGAUCUUUUGAAAAAAGAAUGAACGGCAUGAUGGAAAGAAUGGAAUGGAUGGAAAGCUCUCUUUGCAAGAAGUUGGAUAACUUGAUAGAGCAUUCACGCUUUCCUAAUCGAAUUCCCGUGAGUGGCCAUGCUCCAAAUGCUACAAGGUAAUCAAACUAACCCUUGCACUCUAGUGAAGGAGGAUAAUAGCCAACUAAGUGUGAGUGAUAGUUUGUCUUUAGGUAAGCCGAAUGUGCCUUCAUUUUGUAGAGAAAAUGUACAACUUGAAAUUGUGGAUACACUAGUUGAUCCACUUAGUGUUGAAGCCGUUGUGCCAAGUGAUAGUACAUUGUCUUACGGAAGUCAUGAAGACCAACUUGUGUGUGAAAAUAGUGAUGUUGAAGCCAAGUCCAAGGCCACCUCUUUGUAAGGGCUCAUUAGGGGCCUUUUGGUCAUUUUGUAAUAAGAGUUGCCCUAGCUUAUAAAUAGAACCUUUAGGUCAUUUUGUCCAUUAGACUUUGAUGAUAUAUUUUGUAAGAAGUGUGUUCCCAACCCGUGCCCAUGUGUGCCCAUGGACACUCCACCCAUUUGACCCCAGUGAUCAUUUGAAAUACGGUGAUGAUGUCUUUUGGAAUGACUUAAAUGUGCAUGAAAUGUAUGGCCUUCCUAUCUCGGCUGUCAAGUCUAUUUGCUGUUCCAAGAAGAGUAAGUUUUCCACUUGAUAAGCAACUCUUGUUCCUUGUUUCUUGUCACACUUAUGUGGAUAGACUAGUUGAUUCUUUCUUGGAGGGUAUUCGGCUAAGAGAGAUGUCUGGUUGUAUGUGAAGUUUGAGCCACCUUGGCAAGAUGCUAUGAUUGGUGUUGUUGUCAUCUUGUUAAGCUUAUUGUCGUUUGGCUGCUCGCUGUUUGGUGUCAAUAACACCUUGAUAUCAUCUCUUGUUCUUGUAAUUCGAAUCCGAGUGUGGUCAUCAAAGGGUCCCCGGUUUUGUUGAACUAGUGGAAUGUUUUGGUGUGUGAAUUGUUGUGUUCUUGGGGUGUUUGGUAUCAGGUAAGGUUUUCGUACACUCCACCCUCCCUAGACCUCACUUGUGGGAUUUCACUGGGUAUGUUGUUAUUGUCAACUUCCAGUAACCAAUCAUCUUACAACACAAAGCUAGCAAAAGUUACAUUUGUAUUUCAAAUGUAAUUAUAUUUCCCUAUAUUGCAUUUUAUGUUGUGUCAAACAUACAUCUUAUGCCACUAACCACAUGAAGCCUUUCCACUUCAUACGGUGCUCAACUCUUGAAUAUUUUCAUGGCCACCCAGAUUGCUACAUUUUUACUCUGCAAGGGAUUUUAUAAAAAGUUUUAACAAAGAAUUUCUCAUUACACAGUCAUACCAUGGUAAGUGUCAGGGCUUGUACGCACGGUUGUGAAGCUAGCAAAUAGCUGUAACAGUUGGCACAUAUCCUCCACCUUCCAAUCAUUGAAGUUGCUACUGAGUUCCACGUCCAUCUCGGUGUCAGUCUGCCAUAAGCUAUAUCAUUUUGUAAUAAGUGUUGCCCGAGCUUAUAAAUAAAACCUUUAGGUCAUUUUGUCCAUUAGACUUUGAUGAUAUAUUUUGUAAACUCUUUGAGAGUGUCUUGCAAGGUGGAAUCCUUGUGACAAGUGUGGACACCACUUGCGUUGAUAACAACCUUAGAAACGGUGGUUGCUUGGGAAUCCAAUUCCCUUGAGGUCCGUAAGAGUGUAGGUGUUUAAUAUUACUUGUUGUUUCUGUUUUGGUGUUUAAUAUACACCUUAGUGCUUAAACUUCUAGUAUUUCAUGUCUCACUAUCUAUCCUUUUAGUUAUUGUAAUCUUGUUUCCGUUUUGUUCUUAUAUUGUUGAAGCCGUGUGUUGUUGUUCUCUUCUUGUUGUUGUCAUCUUGUUAACCUUAUUGCCAUUUGGUUGCUCGCUGUUUGGUGUCAAUAACACCUUGAUAUCAUCUCUUUCUUGUUCUUGUAAUUCGAAUCCGAGUGUGGUCAUCAAAGGGUCCUCGGUUCUCUUGAACUAGUGGACUGUUUUGCUGUGUGAAUUGUUGUGUUCUUGGGGUGUUUGGUAUCAAUUGGUAUCAGAGCCAUCUAGGUUUUGUUCUUACAAUACCAAUCUUGGGCUCCCUUAAGUCGAAAAAAUAAAAAAAAAUAAAAAAAGAGAAAAAAGUUGUUCUUGGCCGAGAGUUUGUAAUCGUGUUGUUUUUUAUGUUUGGCCGAGUUGGUGUCUAGAUUUAGGAGUGUUUUUACUUGUCUUUGUUGUUUCUUGUGUUGGUUCUCUUCAUCUCUAACACUCUUGAGUCUUGAUCCAAGUUCUUGAGCUAGGGUUCAAGAAGUUGUUGAAGAUUGUGGGACGAUUUUGUUGUUGGUGGUGUUGGUGUUCAUCUUGUGUUCUUGAAGUGUGUUGAAGAAGUUGUUGUUGAUCUUGAAAACCAUAUAAAGAAGAGAAGACGUUUGUUUGUCUUGAAACAAUUUUCAAGACCACACCAAAGUAGUAAGGAGACCAAAAGACCUCCAAAAGUAUAGUUACCAAAGAGGAGAAAGACCACUUUUCAAAAAUACCCCAAAGAGGACAAGACUACCAAAAGGGUUGUCUUACCAAUUUGGUGCAAGUAGGUGAAGGACUUUAUGAAUCUUGAAAGUGGAGUCUAAGACCUUGUUUGUCUCUACUUUGGCCGAAAUUCUUGUCUUCCAAAUACAAAAUUGAACAACUAAUUUCUUGAAACAAAAAAUUUUCAACUUCAACAACAUUUCAACAACCAAUAGUAAUGUGCCACGUCAUCAAGAGCUCAAGAACGUUGGAAUUCCUAGUUUCACUUUUUUUAUUCUAUUGGUUUCCAUUUUGUUGGUUCUCAUACUAAUUAGCGAACUAUUAAAUACCUACUAGAUU
Molecule: long non-coding RNA, 3719 nt
Filed under: Capsicum annuum
Lineage: Eukaryota; Viridiplantae; Streptophyta; Magnoliopsida; Solanales; Solanaceae
Description: long non-coding RNA (CANN_LNC011275)
Source: RNAcentral